GUAGUGUAUUACAAUACAAAGU
Molecule: microRNA, 22 nt
Filed under: Bombyx mori (domestic silkworm)
Lineage: Eukaryota; Metazoa; Arthropoda; Insecta; Lepidoptera; Bombycidae
Description: bmo-miR-2804-5p
Source: miRBase by way of RNAcentral